This 362-nucleotide ribosomal RNA is filed under the name uncultured bacterium. Its description in RNAcentral is "bacterial SSU rRNA". It matches the Rfam family "Bacterial small subunit ribosomal RNA", at positions 335 to 683 of the family's 1533-position model. The record is from RNAcentral.
ACUCCUACGGGAGGCAGCAGUGGGGAAUAUUGCACAAUGGGCGCAAGCCUGAUGCAGCCAUGCCGCGUGUGUGAAGAAGGCCUUCGGGUUGUAAAGCACUUUCAGUCGUGAGGAAGGUAGUGUAGUUAAUAGCUGCAUUAUUUGUACGUUAGCGACAGAAGAAGCACCGGCUAACUCCGUGCCAGCAGCCGCGGUAAGUACGGAGGGUGCGAGCGUUAAUCGGAAUUACGUGGGCGUAAAGCGCAUGCAGGUGGUUUGUUAAGUCAGAUGUGAAAGCCCGGGGCUCAACCUCGGAAUAGCAUUUGAAACUGGCAGACUAGAGUACUGGUAGAGGGGGUUAGGAAUUUCGAGGUGUAGCGGUG